CGCAAUUCACUUUAUAAAGUGCUUAACAAGAAUUGAGCAUUGAGUGUUGAAAAUGAGUCGAGUGGCAAACGGGUGAGUAACGCGUAGACAACCUGCCGCAAAGAUGGGGACAACAGUCCGAAGGGACUGCUAAUACCGAAUGUUGUCAGAUUCCCGCAUGGGAGACUGAUUAAAGAUGGCCUCUACUUGUAAGCUAUCGCUUUGCGAUGGGUCUGCGUCUGAUUAGCUAGUUGGUGGGGUAACGGCCUACCAAGGCGACGAUCAGUAGCCGGUCUGAGAGGAUGAACGGCCACAUUGGAACUGAGACACGGUCCAGACUCCUACGGGAGGCAGCAGUGGGGAAUCUUCCGCAAUGGGCGAAAGCCUGACGGAGCAACGCCGCGUGAGUGAAGAAAGGGGUUUCGGCUCGUAAAGCUCUGUUGACGGGGACGAACGUGCGAGAUGCGAAUAGUUUCUUGCAAUGACGGUACCCGUCGAGGAAGCCACGGCUAACUACGUGCCAGCAGCAGC
RNAcentral lists this ribosomal RNA (510 nucleotides) under uncultured bacterium. RNAcentral describes it as "bacterial SSU rRNA". It matches the Rfam family "Bacterial small subunit ribosomal RNA", at positions 67 to 518 of the family's 1533-position model. The record is from RNAcentral.